Molecule: ribosomal RNA, 226 nt
Filed under: Enterococcus faecium
Lineage: Bacteria; Bacillati; Bacillota; Bacilli; Lactobacillales; Enterococcaceae
Description: partial 16S ribosomal RNA
Rfam family: Bacterial small subunit ribosomal RNA
Source: RNAcentral
UUUUAUGAGAGUUUGAUCCUGGCUCAGGACGAACGCUGGCGGCGUGCCUAAUACAUGCAAGUCGAACGCUUCUUUUUCCACCGGAGCUUGCUCCACCGGAAAAAGAGGAGUGGCGAACGGGUGAGUAACACGUGGGUAACCUGCCCAUCAGAAGGGGAUAACACUUGGAAACAGGUGCUAAUACCGUAUAACAAUCGAAACCGCAUAGUUUUGAUUUGAAAGGCGC